CAAAGAACUUUGAAGAGAGAGUUCAAGAGGGCGUGAAACCGCUGGGAUUGAAACGGAGAGAGUUGACGAAACUCGGUAGUAUUCAGCUGCGCGUCGGUGUGCCGUUCGUGAUCGCAACCCUCUCGUAGGGAGCGUAGCGAGCGGUCGGAUCCGAUGUGCGUGCAUUUGCUGCCGGUGUGCGCCGAGACUCUUGAUGUGUUGCGCUGAACCGCAUCGUGUUGCCCACAUUAGUGGUGUCUUGCGUUACGGGUAGGUGUGGCGCGUUAAGAGUGGUUGCUGACGAUUCCCGCUAGCGCCGAUGCGUGGCGUUUUGGCGUGCUUUUGUGGCGGUCGCAUGCGACUUGUCGCUUGAGUGCGUUGGGACGUUGCGUUUUGGCGAGGAGUUGUUUCUCGGUGUAACCGUCGAUCACCUCUCCGACCCGUCUUGAAACACGGACCAAGAAGUCUAGCAUGUGCGCGAGUCAUUGGGUGGUAAACCUAAAGGCGUAAUGAAAGUGAAGGUUGCGUAAGCGACUGAUAUGGGAUCUGUGCGGUUCGCCGUGCAGCGCACCAUAGCCCCGUCCUGUCUGCUUGCAGUAGGGCGGAGGAAGAGCGUACACGCUGGGACCCGAAAGAUGGUGAACUAUGCCUGAGCAGGAUGAAGCCAGAGGAAACUCUGGUGGAGGUCCGAAGCGGUUCUGACGUGCAAAUCGAUCGUCUGACUUGGGUAUAGGGGCGAAAGACUAAUCGAACCAUC
Molecule: ribosomal RNA, 736 nt
Filed under: Poikilolaimus sp. NKTW
Lineage: Eukaryota; Metazoa; Nematoda; Chromadorea; Rhabditida; Rhabditidae
Description: eukaryotic LSU rRNA
Rfam family: Eukaryotic large subunit ribosomal RNA
Source: RNAcentral